CCGACGUUACAAAGAAUGGUAGGCCAAAAUAUUUUACAGAGAAGAAAAGUGGUCCUUUGUGUAGUCUGUGUGGUCUCCCAGGUCAUAACAAGGCUACAUGCAGUAAGAACGAGAAGUGAGUUGCAACCUUUUUAUUUUUGUUAUGUUGCUACUUUGAUUUUACCAACUAUAUUUGCUCACCCAUUUCUUUAUGUUUUGUUCAGGAACUGGGCGUAGAGACGCAGCUUGGUUUGUAGGAAGAAUAAAAGUGAUCACACAAACCUAUGUUGCUUUUCAUUCAUACGUGUGUGCAAGAAAACUUGAUAAGUUAUUUGUUUGGGGGUAUUUGUUUAUGUUUUGUUAAAAGAUUUAUGUAAUAAAUUUGGAGAUGCCAUUGCAUAUGUUGUACUACCUGCGCAUGAUGAUGAUUUUGUUUGUUGUUUACUACCUGGGCAUAUAUGUUGUACUACCUGGGCAUGAUGAUGAUUUUCUUUGCUGUUUGCUGUUGGUUCCGACCGCU
RNAcentral lists this long non-coding RNA (499 nucleotides) under Triticum aestivum (bread wheat). RNAcentral describes it as "long non-coding RNA (TAES_LNC021658)". Lineage: Eukaryota; Viridiplantae; Streptophyta; Magnoliopsida; Poales; Poaceae. The record is from RNAcentral.